Molecule: ribosomal RNA, 258 nt
Filed under: uncultured Gardnerella sp.
Lineage: Bacteria; Bacillati; Actinomycetota; Actinomycetes; Bifidobacteriales; Bifidobacteriaceae
Description: partial 16S ribosomal RNA
Rfam family: Bacterial small subunit ribosomal RNA
Source: RNAcentral
CGGAACGGGUGGAGUAAUGCGUGACCAACCUGCCCCAUGCUCCAGAAUAGCUCUUGGAAACGGGUGGUAAUGCUGGAUGCUCCAACUUGACGCAUGUCUUGUUGGGAAAGUGUUUAGUGGCAUGGGAUGGGGUCGCGUCCUAUCAGCUUGUAGGCGGGGUAAUGGCCCACCUAGGCUUCGACGGGUAGCCGGCCUGAGAGGGCGGACGGCCACAUUGGGACUGAGAUACGGCCCAGACUCCUACGGGAGGCAGCAGCC